AUUGAACGCUGGCGGCAGGCCUAACACAUGCAAGUCGAACGAGUGGCGGACGGGUGAGGAAUGUCUGGGAAACUGCCCGAGGGAGGGGGAUAACGACUGGAAACGGUAACUAAGACCGCAUACCAUCAGAGGUGCGCAGAUGGGAUUAGCUAGUAGGGGGGGGAACGGCUCACCUAGGCGACGAUCCCUAGCUGGUCUGAGAGGAUGACCAGCCACACUGGAACUGAGACACGGUCCAGACUCCUACGGGAGGCAGCAGUGGGGAAUAUUGCACAAUGGGCGCAAGCCUGAUACAGCCAUGCCGCGUGUGUGAAGAAGGCCUUCGGGUUGUAAAGUACUUUCAGCGGGGAGGCGUUACCCGCAGAAGAAGCACCGGCUAACUCCGUGCCAGCCGCCGCGGUAAUUC
RNAcentral lists this ribosomal RNA (406 nucleotides) under uncultured bacterium. RNAcentral describes it as "partial 16S ribosomal RNA". It matches the Rfam family "Bacterial small subunit ribosomal RNA", at positions 29 to 526 of the family's 1533-position model. The record is from RNAcentral.